CCUCCGCGAGGGGUAGGGAAGGGGCGGAGCGGCCAGGCCACCGGCCGGCACCUCCAUUGGGCGAGCCACGCUGAGUGAUCCACCUAAGAGCCAAUCAAAGGCACAAACAUCAGACGAAGGGGCGGGAUCGCCACAGGGGCCCUCUUUGGAGGUCAGAGCUCGGCAGGGUGCGGCUAGUGGCGGAGCGCGCUGAGAGGGGAGGGCUUUCCACUGUCGCUGGCGUGAACUCGCGUGCCCGGUGGAUAUCAGGGAAGAACCCCUGCCCCGGACCCCCAGAUCUGCCAUGGCCGAGGUAGCGAUAGUCUCUGCGGCCACGGAGACUGUUUUAACUUGUACCACUUUCCCUUCCAUUUUUCCUGGGGUGCCUCUAACCCUGCAUCUGCGCGUUCAGAAAGCUGGAUUUCGGGAAUGCUCAGUUCAGAAGAGAAAAAAUUGCCGGGAAUCAAGUCCUUCUUUUUGUUAGUCGGUAGUCGAUUGAUGGGAAGUGUUCAAAAUCAUUCGAUGUGGUGACAAGUGAAUAACCUCCAGAAUAACCAUUCUUGGCUUCAUAGUUUGAGCCACACUGUCAGACCACUUGUGGUUAAGAGGAUAGUGUUUACUGAGUGCCUUGUGUAUCUCUUAUGUUUGUGGGUGUUAUGCAUCAUCCCAGUUCUACAAAGCUUUCCAAGGCUUCACCAGGUACUGCCUUCUAAGUUGAGUUGGCCAUUUCCACAUGUCAGAUAGGACCAACUUGCCUUUUAACUACCCGUGUGAUACUUAAACACUGUUGCCGGUAUCACAGCUUUUCUUCAAAACAGGAAGCAACGAGAAUGAGGGCAUUCCAGUAGCAGGAGACAGCAUGCAUAGAGAUGCUGAUGAAGAAAGAGCCUAGCGCACGUGGGAAACUGCAAAAGUUCAGACUGGUUGGAAUGCUGGAAAUGUUGUGAAUGACAGGAGAUGAGGCUGGCGAGAAAACAGAGGUCAGAUUGUGGAAGGCUGUCAAGCCAAAGACUUUGAUUUUAUUCUUGAGAUUGAUGAGAUGUGUGUAAUCCAGGAGUGUGCAAGACAAUCUGUAAGGGUUCAGAAAACAUACUGCUUCUAUAUAUAGUUACCUUUGUCUUAACCUUAAAAUUUCAAAUUGUGUAGGAGUUACAAUGUGUGUAAUUGUUAUUAUAGUACUGGAUCCAAAUAAUUUAUAAAUAAAUAAAUAUAGACAUAAUAUGGUAUAUUACAGGUUAAAUUGUGUACCUCAAAAAUUCAUGUUUAAGUUCUAACCCUCAUUAUCUCAAACUGUGACCUUAUUUGGAAAUACAAUCAUUGCAGAUGCAAUAGUUAAUGAGGUCAAGUUAAGAAGCAAUAGGAGGCCAGGCAUGGUGGCUCACACCUGUAAUCCCAGCACUCUGGGGAGGCCAAGGUGGGUGGAUCACCUGAGGUCAGGAGGUCAAGAGCAACCUGGGCAACAUGGUGAAACUCCGUCUCUACUAAAAAUACACAAAUUAGGCUGGGCUUGGUGUCUCACACCUGUAAUCCCAGCACUUUGGGAGGCCAAGGCGGGCGGAUCACCUGAGGUCAGGAGUUCGAGACCAGCCUGGCCAACAUAGUGAAACCCCGUCUCUACUAAAAAUACAAAAAUUAUUUUGUAUUUUGGUGGCGGACACCUGUAAGUAAUCCCAGCUACUCGGGAGGGUGAGGCAGGAGAAUCGCUUAAACCUGGGAGGUGGAGUUUGCAGUGAACCAAGAUCACACCACUGCACUCCAGCUUAGGAGACAGAGCUAGACUCUGUCUCAAACAAACAAGCAAACAAACAAAAGAAAGAAAAAAAGAAGGAGCGAAAAGGUGGGCCCCCAAUCCCUAAUCCAGUAUGACUAAUGUCCUUCUAAGAACAGAAAAUUUGAACAGAGACACACAAACAGGAAGAAUACCUAUGCCUUUUGAAGGUAAAGGCGGACAUUGGGGUAAUGCUUUUAUAAGCCAAGGAACUCCGAAGGUAGCCAGCAAACUGUCAGAAGCUAGGCGAGGGUCCUGGGACAGAUUCUCCUCACAGCCCUCAGAAGGAAUCAGUCCCGCUGACACCUUGAUCUUGGACUUGUAGCCUCAGGAACUGUGAGGCAAAUGUCUGUUGUUUAUCCAGUUUGUGAUACUUUGUUACAGCAGCCCUAGCAAAUUGAGCUACUUGGUCAAAAACUUCAGGCAACACUGAUGAGAUGAUAUAAAGACUUUAAAGAGUUGGUUUAUGUUUAAGAGUCCAAAUUAUCAAUGUCCUAUCUUUAUUCAGUCUCUGUAUUCAAGAAUUGACCUUAGGCCAGGUGCAGUAGUUCACGCCUAUAAUCCCAAUACUUUGGGAUGCCAAGGUAGGAGGAUUGCUUGAGGUCAGGAGUUUGAGAUCAGCCCUUGUAUAUUAGUUCGUUCUCAUGCUGCUGAUAAAGACAUACCCAAGACUGGGUAAUUUAUAAGGAAAAAGAGGUUUAAUGGACUCACGGUUCCAUGUGGCUGGAGAGGCCUCAAUCAUGGCGGAAGGUGAAAGCCAUGUCUUAGGUGGCGGCAGACAAAAGAGAAAUGAGAGCCAAGUGAGAAGGGAAACCCCUUAUAAAGUCAUCAGAUCUCGUGAGACUUAUUCACUACCAUGAGAACAGUAUGGGGAAAGCGUCCCCAUGAUUCAGUUCCCACCGGGUCACUCCCACCACACGUGGGAGUUCUGGGAGCUACAAUUCAAGAUGAGAUUUGAGUGGGGACAAAGCCAAACCAUAUCACCUUUUCUCCACUAAAAAUUAAAAUUAAAAAAUUAAGCUGGCAUGGUACUAUAUGUCUGUAGUCCUAGCUACUUGGGAUGCCGAGGUGGGAGGAUUGCUUGAGCCCAGGAGGUUGAAGCUGCAGUGAGUCAUGAUCAUGCCACUGCACUCUAGCCUGGACAACAGAGCAAGGCCCUGAUGCAAAAAACAAAAAAUAAUAAUUUAACUUAAAGUGAUGUCUUGAUUGCAGUAUUUAUUCUACUUUUUAAAGCCAUUAUGGUGGGAAAACAAUUUGUUUACAUUUGUAGUAUAGUUUAUGUUAAAGGUUGAAGAAAUUGGGAAAUAUUUUAUCUUUAACUCAAAACAGGAUGGUGAUAUGCAACAGUUUUAGGCAAAAAAUAUUUACAUUUAAGAAAAAAAGUAUCAUUUAAUCCCAUUAGGCAGAAGUGGAGUCAAAAGCAAAAAUAUGGCUGGUUAUGGACGUAUGUUUCCCUUCCUGUUCAUAUGUUGAAACUUAAUUCCCAAUGUGAUGGAUUUUGGAGAUGGGGUCUUUGGGAGGUAAUAGGUCAUGAGAGUGGAACCCUCGUGGAUGGGAUUAGUGCCAUAUAAGAAGAGUCCAUAGAGCUAGCUCACUCCCUUUCUGCCAUGUGAGGAUACAAGAAGUCGGCCUGGAAAAGAGCCCUCACCAGAACCCUACAAUGGCACUCUGAUCUUGGACAUUCGGCCUCCGGAGCUGUGAGAAAUAAAUUGUCUUUAAGCUAUCCAGUUUAUGGUACUUUGUUACACCAGCCCAAACUGACUGAAGAUGGGGUCCUACCAAGCGAAAUCAUAGCUGUGAACAGUGUAAUAGUAUCUCAUCAGCAUGGGGAGGGCUAUAGGCAAAACAUGCACUAGUCUAGCUACUUAAUCUUCAAGUAUUAAGGACAACCUGUCCUUUUUAUACAAGUCAUACAUUAGACAUGUGCCUGAGAUUACAAAACACUGUGAUCGCGUUUUCAAGGCUAGGGAUACAUCUCAAACUCAGAUGUACUUCUUUGGUGCCUAUUUGUAAGUCAGCAAAAUCCAGAACUCAGCAAUAUGUUAAUUAAUGUAUUAAUACAGAAAAUAUUUUUGUGCGUUAUAUUUUCUGCAUUUUAGAUAUUUGUGUGUCAUGGAAUAUUUGAUAAUUUUUGGCUUUAUUUAGGUUAAGUCAACCAAAGCAUUUUGAAAUGCUGCUUUUUUUUUUUAACACAUGUAUUUGUGGGUUUUUGUUUUGUUAUUGUUGUUGUUUGAGACAGGGUCUUACUCUGUCAUGCAGGCUGAAGUGCAGUGUCACAAUCACGGCUCACCGCAGCCUCAACCUCCCGGGCUCGGGUGAUCCUCCCACGUCAGCCUCCUUAGCAGCUGGGAUUACAGGUGCCCACUACCACGCCCGUCUCCUUUUUGUAUUUUUAGUAGAGACGGAGUCUCACCAUGUUGCCCAGGCUGGUCUCAAACUCCUGGGCUCAAGUGAUCUGCCCUCCUCAACUUCCCAAAGUGCUAGGAUUACAGGUGUGAGCCACCACACCUGGCCUAAAUCCACAUGUGUUUGUAAUAGUUUUGCCAUUGUUUAGACAGGUAGUUUUAAGAUUUUUUAAAGUAAUAGAAGCCUUUCUUCAAAUUAAAUCUUAUGUGGAAGUCCAGUAUGCAGCAAUUAUGUUAGGUAGUCAUAGAGGACUGGCCAUUCGUAAAAAAAAUACCCUUGUUUUAAAUCUUUGUUUCUUGAAUUUAGUCUUGAAGUUCCAUGUUUUAUGACUAUGUAUUCCAUGUUUAUUUUAUAGUGUGUUAGCAAAAUGAAAGGAAUGUACAUGGAUGGGGAUGAUAAAGAUGCUACUGACCUAUUAUUAUAGGGCCUGUGCUUGGAGUUGCUUUUCAGUAAUGGGAUUGGAUUUGUAAGAAUCCAUCUAUCAGGCCGGGUGCAGUGGCUGACGCCAGUAAUCCCAGCACUUUGGGAGGCCGAGGCUCAAGUAGCUCAAUUUGCUUUAAAAAAAAAAAAAAAAAAAGAAUCCAUCUAUCGUCUGGCCGGGCACGAUGGCUCACGCCUGUAAUCCCAGCACUUUGGGAGACUGAGGCGGGCGGAUCACGAGGUCAAGAGAUCAAGACCAUCCUGGCCAACAUGGUCAAACCCCGUGUCUACUAAAAAUACAAAAAUUAGAUGGGCGUGGUGGUGGGUGCCUGUAAUCCAUCCCAGCUACUCAGGAGGCUGAGGCAGGAGAAUCACUUGCACCCGGGAGGCGGAGGUUGCAGUGAGCCAAGAUCAUGCCACUGCACUCCAGCCUGGGCAACAGAGUGAGACUCCCUCCCAAAAAAAAAGAAUCCAUCUAUCCUCUUUAAUUUAGUCCCCUUUGUGGCCACACAGCAGUCUGUGUCCUACACCCUCUUGGUCAAGAAUAUAAUGUCUACUACUCACAAAAAUAUAUUUCUCAGUAAGUGACUCCCCUUCCUCUCAUCAUUGUUCUUUUAGCAAUUUUUGUGCACUAUUCAUUUAACUAUAACUUUGCCACCUUUGGACUCUAAUAGACUCAAAAACCUGUUUGUCCAGUUUAGUGUGUGUGUGUUUGUUUUAUUCCCUCACCCAUGACUUCCAGUCAUAUUACUGUAAGCUGAUAUUUGGAACUACAUAUAUCUUUCGUAUGUUUAUUUUUUUAAUUUUUUUUUGCAAGU
This is a long non-coding RNA of Gorilla gorilla gorilla (western lowland gorilla), 5391 nucleotides long. RefSeq lists it as uncharacterized. The transcript has 4 exons. The record is from RefSeq and is a predicted model, not a curated record. NCBI's taxonomy places the organism in Eukaryota, Metazoa, Chordata, Mammalia, Primates, Hominidae.